This is a non-coding RNA of Doryrhamphus excisus (bluestripe pipefish), 799 nucleotides long. NCBI's taxonomy places the organism in Eukaryota, Metazoa, Chordata, Actinopteri, Syngnathiformes, Syngnathidae. The record is from RefSeq and is a predicted model, not a curated record.
UUUGGCGGGCUCCUCCUCAAUCGCCUUCUGCACCGGUGAGAGGAAACGUGUGCAUAAAACAUUGCUGAAGUUGCUCUACAUUUUAUAUGUUGUGCACAGGAUUUUUACAGUUGUGAGUCAGCUGAUGCAUCUUCCAGCUGUAAACAUACGCAAUGGAGUGAAAUGAGAGCUGAAAAGCCUGCAAAUACCAUUUCAUCCAAAACCUUCCAUCCACACGGAAACGGAGUGCUAGGUGCCCAGAAACAGUAUUUUUUUUUAAAAUAGCUUCCAGAUGGAUGCAGAUGCAGCUGACUCCGUCUUCUGUGCCCGGAGAGGAAACAAAAUGCCAGCACUCGUCCGUUCAGCUUGGUACCACUGCUGAAGUCGGUAUGCUCAACGCACGUUUGAAGCACGGCGUAAACACUCACUCGUCACGGUCCAUGUGAGCUAUGUGCGCUCAUUGGACAGUUGGACUGGGGAAGUGCGGAGAAUGACAUGCAACCAACCACGGAGUCAGAAGUGGUUGCAGAGGGCAACGCGUGUCACCCGCACACAACGAAAGUUCCUCCUGCACGAAAAGUGCUACCUAGUGUCUCGAUUCAUGGGAGCUCAUGAGCAUGUUUAAGUGUAUCUAGUCUGUGAGAACUUCAUACUCAAGUUCAUAUAAUUAAAAUAAUCAUGGACAAUUGCAGACUUUUCAUCCAAAAAUAACCCGUAUGAGCCUAACUUGAGAUUUGUUAGGAACCAUAACCAUUGAAAUUCACAUCACCAAAUCCUAGUCUGGAGGAGGCACAAAUUUUGCUGGCUUUAUAUGACAUAU